UAUAUUUUUUUGUGCACUGUUCAUAUGAACAGUGUUUUCAUGGGACACUGUUCAUAUCAACAGUGAAUACAUUGCUUCUUCCCGAAAUUAUCAUUAUUUUUAUUUUUAUUUUUAUUUUUAUUUUUUAUUAUAAAUUUUAUAUGAAGGCACGCAAGGAAUUGACUUUAGAUUUGAGGUGGAUCAUGAUUGUUGAUUUGCUUGAACUUGUUCUUGAGCCCAAUGACAUUUAAUUCUUACUAAACCGCUUCAGAUUGAACUCAACCAGACCAGACUGUGAC
Molecule: long non-coding RNA, 278 nt
Filed under: Phoenix dactylifera (date palm)
Lineage: Eukaryota; Viridiplantae; Streptophyta; Magnoliopsida; Arecales; Arecaceae
Description: long non-coding RNA (PDAC_LNC016723)
Source: RNAcentral